CAUGCUCAAAAGCUGUGGGCAAGAGCUUAGCAAUAAGUGGCGAACCCAGAGUUUCCCAUCUCAAGCUGUCAAAAUAAGACUUCACCCGCAGAAUCGGAAUCACCUGUAUGGUUAGAGAAGGAACUCCUGGGCUUAAGAACCCUGAGCCGGGACCCUCUGCUGAGCAGAAUCCUGCCUUGGUGCCACCGUUGUUAGACAUCUUACCUCAGCAUAGACGGCAACCUCGAGAGGAGACGCAUGGCUUAAUGUGUGUCUCCAGCUGUCAAAUGACCUACAAAGAAGUUUGAUCAUCAACAACAAAUGUGCAUCCGCUCAGGAGAAGACCCUUACCUCAAACACACAGCGGGAUGGCUGCAGUCCAUGAACUUUGAGUAUGAUGAAAGUCUACUCUCCACACCACCACCAAGACGGGCAGCAGCCAGCCCGUCUUUCCUCAGAUCUGCCUCCGCUUACAGAUUCCUGACUUGCAAACCGAAAAGAAGAAUCUCACGCACCAUUUCUCUGCCAGCUGAGUUCCUGUCCUGGGAUUGAACUUAGCUGUCGCGCUUGAGAGAUGGCGUUUUUACCAGGUAAGCCAUCUCCCUGGCCCCUUUCAGUGCCCUUUAUGUUCAAGAAUAAGAAGUCUGCAUCUGAAGAACGUGAAGGUGGAUCGACGAUAUCAGCAACGUUAAUUGGCUCGUUUCUCAGUGGCUACAAAGAAAGGAGCUUGUGAUUAAUAAGGCUUUGAUUUUUCCAGUGUAUUUUAUUUUGAUGUUUUAAGACGGAGCUUCACCGUGUUGCCCAGGCUGCUCCAUCUGCCUCGGUCUUCCAAGUAGCUGGGAUUACAGGCAUGUACCGCCAUGUACCGCCAUGUUGGGCACGGUGUACUUCUAUUUGGUAGUUGAUACAAUGGCAUUAUGCAACACUGACCAGACUUGGUUAGGUCACCUCUUGCAGGGGGGAAUUCUGUGGUUUCCUUUCCCUACUAGACCUGUGUCAUUGAGCAAACUAAAUUAGCAGAGCAAUUCACCCCUACAUAAGCCAUUAAUGAAGUGCCUCCAUUAUACAUGCAUAUUCAUUAGCUCGCCCCUGAGGAAUUCUCCAUCAAUCCCAGCACACAAAGCCCUGACAAGUCAAGACAGAUGAAGCUUCUCCGUGGUCGAGGAGGUGCUAGCUUCCUGUAUUGUAACACGGAGUGAGUGUCCGUGGCGCUUUCCUUUGUAAAGCUGAGAGAUACUGUGGCUCCCACACAAUGGGAGAGGAUCACAGAGCUCACAGGACAACCAGGGCUCGUCUGGUAUGGCACACAGAAUGGGAGCGGUGGCUCUUUUUCAUCUUCCCGUAAACUUCCUGGGAAAUGAUCUUUCUGAAAGCUUCGUUAAGAAGGAAAUGGCCAUCUAGGUUUUAUUUCGGUCCAUAUUCUAAGAAUUUUGAAACAUGAAACGUGUUCCAGGAAAAAUGAAACAACAUUCAGGUUCAUUUCCUAAAGAUUUCCUAGUCAGGGCCUUAUGGUAACUACCUAAUCCCUUCCGAGGACAGCGUCCCAAUGUCCUAGUCACCUCUCCAAUACUCCAUCUUUCUUAAAGGUCCCCACCACUAUACAGUCUACAACCAUUGGAGGACAAAGUAUAUCCAAGUCAGAGCAUUGGUAUUAAGUAAAUACUUCCUUAAUACAACCACUUAGGUAUCCUCCCCCUUACCCCGCCCUGUGUGUGUGUGCGUGUGUUUCUCUGUCUUUCCCCUACUCAUAAGUUGGGGCACAGUCUGUUGCUUCAACUUUCUAACUAAAUCCAGUAUGCUAGGAUGAGAAAGAAGAGAAGAGAAACAAUAAAAAAAAAAAUCAAAACACACUCCACCCCACACCUGGAAACUAUGCCCCUCCCCCAAGCAUUUUGCAGAAGACUGAAGGUGACCAGAAAUGGUGGCUUCGGACUGAGAAAUCCCUCGGAAAGGAGGAAUAUCCCUUUGGCCUCACAGUGCUUGCAAGGCUGCAGUUACAGAGCAAGUAAUGUCCUUAAACUCCCCAGGAAUUGAAGAUCCUUAGUACACUGAUGACAAAUUUAUUUGAGAAAGAUUGUCAUCUGAGGAGGCUGACUUUCGUCCCCAAAUUUGGGGUUUUAAGAAGCAAAUUAGAGCCAGGUUCUUGGCAACAGAGCUGAUAAAAUAUUUAAUACAGAAGAAAUUAAAAAUAAAUAAACAAGUUUAAAAUGAAUGUAAAUUUUAAAAAAAAACAUGAAGUAUUUGACUAUAAAAUAUUUUGUUGGAGUUUUUAACGGGCACCAGAAUUUGACUAUGUUCAUCCUGCCACUUACAAGAAAUAAAAAAGGAAGGCAGAAAUCACGGAGAGUCACAGGAUGACUCCUCGCUUGUCAUUAACAUCUUUUACGAUGGCAGUAGGAAAGAGUCGCUGACCCAGCUAGCCUGGAUUAAUACUGAGCUCUAUGCCGAAGAGAAUCAACCCACAAAAUCCUUUAACUGUAGGCCGUGGGCAGAGGGCAUUUCCCUGAAAGGAAGGACACACAAAGGCUCACCUGAGCACAUGCUUGGAACGACCCAUUAGCUCAUUUGAAUCUUCAAUCUGUAGAUCUGGAGGGCUGGAGGGCAUCGAGGACCAUUUUGAUACAGGCAGAGGCAGAAUUUGCUCUGUUUCAAUUUUAGAAUCUGUGCUAAAAUGGGCAAUUUAGAAUAAUAAAGCUAUCAUGUGCUUCUUGGUC
This 2693-nucleotide small RNA is filed under the name Rattus norvegicus (Norway rat). Its description in RNAcentral is "uncharacterized LOC102556079". Lineage: Eukaryota; Metazoa; Chordata; Mammalia; Rodentia; Muridae. The record is from RNAcentral.